CUUGUGCUCCUUUAAUUUCUUCUUGCUUUUCUUUUAAACACUAAACAGAGCUUUUAUUUUAUACACUAUAUAGAGCAGAAUGAAUGUUGAGGAUUCAUAUAGCAAACUCAAACUAGCUUGGAAUUUGUGUAGCUGUCGUUGUGGUUUUGAUGUAACAAAUAUAGGUAAGGUAGCAACUAAAGUUCAUACAACAGCACGGCAGCAUUUAUUUCUACCAAGGGUCAAUAUGCUAAACAUUGAGACUGAAAUCAGCGCAACUAAGGUUCGUUCAACAGCACGGCAUGACGGCAGCAUUUAUUUCUACCAAGGGUCAAUA
RNAcentral lists this long non-coding RNA (316 nucleotides) under Nicotiana benthamiana. Its description in RNAcentral is "long non-coding RNA (NBEN_LNC024638)". The record is from RNAcentral. Lineage: Eukaryota; Viridiplantae; Streptophyta; Magnoliopsida; Solanales; Solanaceae.